This is a non-coding RNA of Dipodomys ordii (Ord's kangaroo rat), 65 nucleotides long. The record is from Rfam. NCBI's taxonomy places the organism in Eukaryota, Metazoa, Chordata, Mammalia, Rodentia, Heteromyidae.
GGUGGCUCAGAGGUAGAGCACUUGCCUUGCAUGCAUGAGGCCCUGGGUUCGAUUCCUCAGCACCA